CCUACGGGAGGCAGCAGUGAGGAAUAUUGGUCAAUGGCCGGAAGGCUGAACCAGCCAAGCCGCGUGAGGGAGGAAGGCGCAGAGCGUCGCAGACCUCUUUUGCCGGGGGACAAAAGGCCGGUCUCGUCCGGUCCUGAGGGUACCCGGAGAAAAAGCAUCGGCGAACUCCGGGCCAGCAGCCGCGGUAAAACGGGGGAUGCGAGCGUUAUCCGGAUUCAUUGGGUUAAAAGGGUGCGCAGGCGGAUGUUUAAGUCAGCGGUCCAAUCGUGGGGCUCAACCCCAUACAGCCGUUGAAACUGGGGAUCUAGAGUGUGCGAGAGGUAUGCGGAAUGCGUGGUGUAGCGGUGAAAUGCAUAGAUAUCACGCAGAACCCCGGUGGCGAAGGCAGCAUACCGGUGCACAACUGACGUUCAGGCACGAAAGCGUGGGUAUCGAACAGGAUUAGAUACCCCUGUAGUC
This 459-nucleotide ribosomal RNA is filed under the name uncultured bacterium. RNAcentral describes it as "partial 16S ribosomal RNA". It matches the Rfam family "Bacterial small subunit ribosomal RNA", at positions 338 to 795 of the family's 1533-position model. The record is from RNAcentral.